This 897-nucleotide ribosomal RNA is filed under the name uncultured bacterium. RNAcentral describes it as "bacterial SSU rRNA". It matches the Rfam family "Bacterial small subunit ribosomal RNA", at positions 9 to 916 of the family's 1533-position model. The record is from RNAcentral.
GAGUUUGAUCAUGGCUCAGGAUGAACGCUGGCGGCGUGCCUAACACAUGCAAGUCGAACGGAGUUACGAUGAAACCUAGUGAUUCGUAACUUAGUGGCGGACGGGUGAGUAACGCGUGGAUAACCUGCCUUACACUGGGGGAUAACACUUAGAAAUAGGUGCUAAUACCGCAUAAGCGCACGGAGCCGCAUGGCUUAGUGUGAAAAACUCCGGUGGUGUAAGAUGGAUCCGCGUCUGAUUAGCUGGUUGGCGGGGUAGAAGCCCACCAAGGCGACGAUCAGUAGCCGGCCUGAGAGGGUGAACGGCCACAUUGGGACUGAGACACGGCCCAAACUCCUACGGGAGGCAGCAGUGGGGAAUAUUGCACAAUGGGGGAAACCCUGAUGCAGCAACGCCGCGUGAGUGAAGAAGUCAUUCGUGAUGUAAAGCUCUAUCAGCAGGGAAGAAAAUGACGGUACCUGAGUAAGAAGCCCCGGCUAACUACGUGCCAGCAGCCGCGGUAAUACGUAGGGGGCAAGCGUUAUCCGGAUUUACUGGGUGUAAAGGGAGCGUAGACGGCCAGACAAGUCUGAAGUGAAAAUCCAGCGCUUAACGUUGGAAGUGCUUUGGAAACUGCCGGGCUAGAGUGCAGGAGGGGCAGGCGGAAUUCCUAGUGUAGCGGUGAAAUGCGUAGAUAUUAGGAGGAACACCAGUGGCGAAGGCGGCCUGCUGGACUGCAACUGACGUUGAGGCUCGAAGGCGUGGGGAGCAAACAGGAUUAGAUACCCUGGUAGUCCACGCGGUAAACGAUGAUUACUAGGUGUCGGGGGGCUAGAGCCCUUCGGUGCCGUCGCAAACGCAAUAAGUAAUCCACCUGGGGAGUACGUUCGCAAGAAUGAAACUCAAAGGAAUUGACGG